RNAcentral lists this long non-coding RNA (580 nucleotides) under Oryctolagus cuniculus (rabbit). RNAcentral describes it as "lncRNA (ENSOCUG00000038076.1)". Lineage: Eukaryota; Metazoa; Chordata; Mammalia; Lagomorpha; Leporidae. The record is from RNAcentral.
AUGGUAAAUAAUAUGUACAUCGAGGGAAAUGUAGCCAGAGCUUCUAUGUCAGAUUGGCUUGUUCCCUUUUCUGUCCUUUCCUUUAUAGACUCUGAGCCCCUUCAGGUAUUACUUUCUGUACCCACAACUCUAAUAUCUAUAUUGAUCCUGAUAUAUGUCAUGCUGACCUUAAUGGGUAAUAAUUACACCUUCUGUCCAGACAGAAACUGUAAACAAAAUGUCAGUGUCAUGAUCUCACAUGCUUGUAGAAUAAUUAACAAUUAUACUUUGUGCCUGAUGGAAACCCUCCUCUGGAACUACUGCAUGAGAGCAGAACACUUGAAUGCUAGACCAGAUUUCCUGAGACCAGCCACUGGACAUCUUCCUAAAGAAGCAAUGGAACAAAUCCUUCCAGAACAAGAUCUGGACCUGAUGCAACUGGUGAUGGAGCCCUGCAGGAAGAGCCAGAAGCCCAACUAGUUGGUGACUCCUUUUGGCAAGAUAGGCAGAGACAUUGUGUCAUGCCAAAUUAGGCACAUUGAUGUCUACACCUCAACUGGCAGUUUUGCAGUUGUGUGACUGGUAUCAUGUCCAGAACAUG